AUUGAAUGCUGGCGGCAGGCCUAACACAUGCAAGUCGAGCGAGCGGCGGACGGGUGCGUAAUGUCUGGGAAACUGCCUGAUGGAGGGGGAUAACUACUGGAAACGGUAGCUAAUACCGCAUACCAUCAGAUGUGCCCAGAUGGGAUUAGCUAGUAGGUGGGGUAACGGCUCACCUAGGCGACGAUCCCUAGCUGGUCUGAGAGGAGGACCAGCAACACUGGAACGGAGACACGGGCCAGAGUCCUACGGGAGGAAGCAGUGGGGAAUAUGGCACAAUGGGCGCAAGCCUGAUGCAGCCAUGCGGCGUGUGUGAAGAAGGCCGUCGGGUUGUAAAGCACGUUCAGCGGGGAGGCGUUACCCGCAGAAGAAGCACCGGCUAACUCCGUGCCAGCAGCCGCGGUAAUUC
This 406-nucleotide ribosomal RNA is filed under the name uncultured bacterium. RNAcentral describes it as "partial 16S ribosomal RNA". It matches the Rfam family "Bacterial small subunit ribosomal RNA", at positions 29 to 526 of the family's 1533-position model. The record is from RNAcentral.